Molecule: ribosomal RNA, 492 nt
Filed under: Paralamyctes prendinii
Lineage: Eukaryota; Metazoa; Arthropoda; Chilopoda; Lithobiomorpha; Henicopidae
Description: partial 16S ribosomal RNA
Rfam family: Bacterial large subunit ribosomal RNA
Source: RNAcentral
CGUUUUUUGAUAUUGUAUAAAAAAUACAGCCUGCCCAAUGAGGAUUAAAUGGCCGCGGUAUCUUGACCGUGCGAAGGUAGCAUAAUCAUUAGUCUAUUAAUUGUGGACUGGUAUGAAUGGCUAGAUCGUGAGAUGCUGUCUCUAAUUCAAGUAUGAAUUUUAGAUUUUUGUGAAGACGCUAAAAUUUUUCUAUUAGACGAGAAGACCCUAUUAAGCUUUACAUUUAUUGUUUUCAUAAGAGGGUUAAACAAGAGAUGUUUUAUUGGGGCGAUAGUAAAAUUGAAACUUUUAUUUAAAGGGGGUAUAAAUAGGUUCACCAGCUUAAUGAUCCAUAAUUUAUGAUUAUAAGAACAAGUUACUAUAGGGAUAACAGCGUAAUCUUAUUGGAGAGUUCUUAUUGAUAAUAAGGAUUGCGACCUCGAUGUUGAAUUAGGAUACCUUUAAGGUGCAGCCGUUUUUUUAGGUAGUCUGUUCGACUAUUAAAUUCCUACA